GAUAAACGCUAGCGGCAGGCUUAACACAUGCAAGUCGAGGGGCAGCAUAGAUUGUAGCAAUACAAUUGGUGGCGACCGGCGCACGGGUGCGUAACGCGUAUGCAACCUACCCGUCACAGGGGGAUAAUCCGGAGAAAUCUGGUCUAAUACCCCAUAACAUAUGGAUCGGCAUCGGUUCAUGUUGAAAUUUUCGGAGGUGACGGAUGGGCAUGCGUAGCAUCAGCUUGUUGGUGAGGUAACGGCUCACCAAGGCGACGAUGCUUAGGGGGACUGAGAGGUUUUCCCCCCACACUGGUACUGAGACACGGACCAGACUCCUACGGGAGGCAGCAGUGAGGAAUAUUGGUCAAUGGGCGCAAGCCUGAACCAGCCAUGCCGCGUGCAGGAUGACGGCUCUAUGAGUUGUAAACUGCUUUUGUACGAGGGUAAAGUGGGUUACGUGUAACCUUUUGGAGGUAUCGUACGAAUAAGGAUCGGCUAACUCCGUGCCAGCAGCCGCCGUAA
RNAcentral lists this ribosomal RNA (504 nucleotides) under uncultured bacterium. RNAcentral's name for it is "partial 16S ribosomal RNA". It matches the Rfam family "Bacterial small subunit ribosomal RNA", at positions 28 to 523 of the family's 1533-position model. The record is from RNAcentral.